AUUGAACGCUGGCGGCAUGCUUUACACAUGCAAGUCGAACGGCAGCGCGGGCUUCGGCCUGGCGGCGAGUGGCGAACGGGUGAGUAAUACAUCGGAACGUGCCCAGUAGUGGGGGAUAGCUCGGCGAAAGCCGGAUCAAUACCGCAUACGACCUGAGGGUGAAAGCGGGGAUCUUCGGACCUCGCGCUAUUGGAGCGGCCGAUGGCAGAUUAGCUAGUUGGUGGGGUAAAGGCCUACCAAGGCGACGAUCUGUAGCUGGUCUGAGAGGACGACCAGCCACACUGGGACUGAGACACGGCCCAGACUCCUACGGGAGGCAGCAGUGGGGAAUUUUGGACAAUGGGCGAAAGCCUGAUCCAGCAAUGCCGCGUGUGUGAUGAAGGCCUUCGGGUUGUAAAGCACUUUUGGCGGGAACGAAAAGGACUGUGCCAAUACCACGGUUCGAUGACGGUACCCGCAGAAUAAGCACCGGCUAACUACGU
This 482-nucleotide ribosomal RNA is filed under the name uncultured bacterium. Its description in RNAcentral is "partial 16S ribosomal RNA". It matches the Rfam family "Bacterial small subunit ribosomal RNA", at positions 29 to 506 of the family's 1533-position model. The record is from RNAcentral.